Tachysurus fulvidraco (yellow catfish) is the source of this 68-nucleotide small nucleolar RNA. NCBI's taxonomy places the organism in Eukaryota, Metazoa, Chordata, Actinopteri, Siluriformes, Bagridae. The record is from RefSeq and is a predicted model, not a curated record.
GUGGAGGUGAUGACACUUUUAAACUUUGACUGUCUGUGAUGUUCAAGUAUUCAUACUGUCUGAUCCAC